UCUGAACAACUUUGCCUCUGGGACCAAUGUUGUCAAUAAAGCUGUUAAUUAAAUAUUCAAGAUUAUUUAAAAAAGUUACUUUGGCAUACUUGUGAUACGGUUUAAGAUGAAAAUCAAUAAAACCACUGAAGUACAAUUCUCUAGACUCUGAAGGUCAAUAAUUAUCAAAAACAUGUUGAACAAUUGCAUUUGGACAACUAUAAACCAGUAAUUUUAUAAUAUGUUCUUUUCAUAGUGUACACAAAGGCCUAUUAAUACAAACAGAAAGCCCACACAUUAUCAAAACUGUGUAAAACAAUGCAUAAUUUCAUUCUAAACAAGCAUGCAAAAUUUAAGAGAGAUUGGGCAAAAAAAAAAAAAAAACACUAUAACAGUUAUGUUUAAAAACAGUGUUGCUUGAGUAAAUGCAAUUUAUAACCUCUAGAUGGCAGUGGAAGACCACUAAUGGGCUCAUUCAGUUAAGUUGAACAGUACUGUUGAAAGGAUUCAUGAAUUCAUCCCAAAACAUUAAAAAUGUAACUGUUAUAACAUUUUAAAUCUCAUUGAGUCAAUGUUUUCCAUUUUGUUCUUACAGAUAUAUCAGUUUUUACUAUUUUGCCACAUUGUGAUUACAGUUUAACCUGAAAAUGACAUCUAAACUCUUAAAAAGAGAAGACUUGCAAUAAGUUUAUUGUCACCUAUCACUUAUUUCAAAUACCUAUAUCUGCAACAAAAUGUUUGUGCAUGUAUAUGUGUGUCUUUCUGUGUGUGUGUGUGUGUGUGUGUGCAUAUGCUUAUAGAGUAUACAUAUAUUAGUCUAAUCAUUUACUUUCAGUGUGUGUGUCUGUCUGUUAACCUGUUCUCCAUUUUGGAUGUGUUUAAAUGUCAUCCAUGCAUCCAGGUUGGCUCAGACCACCUCAGAGGCCUUAAUGUGCUUGAACCCCGGUAAAUGCUGCUUGCAGCUUUAAUUAUUAUUAGGGGUUCAAGCACGCAGUGCUGAAACCCUAUUGUAAUUGUUAGGAUUUUUAUUAUUAUUAUUAUUAUUAUUAUUAUUAUUAUUAUUAUUCUUCUGCCCUAGAACUGAACGUGCAGCCCAAACCGUAAGGCCUAGAGAGCUGAAAUUUGGACAGAUCGUAGAGCUCAAUUUGGGGAGAACUUAUCAAAGUCUCAGCCCAAUCGGCCUAACGGGGGCGCUACAGCGCAAAAAACAAAAAUUUUGGACAUUUUUGGCCGUAAAUCGUAUACCGUUAGCCGUAGUCUCAAAAACAUGGCAUUGUUGCAAUCCUUGGGUUAGCCCGAACAAAAGUGCACGGCGCCUUUUUGGGGUCUACGACGCACCGUUUUCUCGCAAAAUCGAGCUAUAUCCGAAACCUACUUUUGCGAACUAGUCCUAGGAUUUUCAACCAAUCAGAACCAAACCACUUCAUAAAUAUUCCCUGGACACUCAAUAUCAAUAAUUAUUAAAAAAAAGUUGAAAUUUCAAUUCUUACGCGAAACAGUACGCCAAAAAGCGUCUAUGCUAACGUUAGCCAAAUACUAUUUUGACUAUAACUCUUGAACGGAAUGAGAUAUCUUCAACAAACUCGGUACACAUAUGUAUGAGCUCAAUCUUUGGUCAAAUCAAAAAAAUUGCGCAUCUCUGCCACUUGGGGGCGCUAUAAGAUUGAAAAAACACAUAAAUUGCUAUAACUAGGCAACCGUUGGCUCGAUCAACUUGAAAAUCGGUAUGCGGUGUCUUGGUCUGAAGGGGCACAAGUACUUAUGAGGACAUUUGCAUAUCUCAAAAAACAUGGCCGUCAUUGGCCAAACAAAUUUAAGCACCUAUUUGAAAGGGUUAACGGAUGUUGAUCGGAACGAAACUCGCUGGGUACGUUCGACUCAUGAACCUUAAGGUCUGUAAGAAUUUUGAAAGAAAUCGGCCACUAGUUGGCGCUAACGAGUUUUAUGGCUCUGUAAUCACGUGGUGUUUCACAUAUCAACACAAUAUGCAUAUCAUUUGAUAGAUCUCCUCGUAAUGCACAACUUUGCCUCAAGAACCAUUGCUGUCAAUCAAAUCGUUCAAUUGUUAUUCACAAAUAUGUUAAAAACCUACUUUUGCGAACUAGUCCUAGGUUUUUUGCCCGAUCGGAACCAAACCACUGCAGUAAUAUUCUGUGGACUCUCUAGAUCAAUAAUUAUUAAAAAAAUGUUGAAUUUUGUCCUUUGGUUAGCUGUAACCGGGUAAUUUAGAAAAAGGGGUGUGGCCAAACACACCCCAAAGCCUAUAAAACCUAAAGGAAAACUCAAAACUGUAUGAAACUCAGUGAAAUCAUGUAUCAGGUGACUCUUAACAAGCAUGCAAAGUUUCAUGGAGAUCAGACCAUAGGUGGCGCUAUAACAGUAGAAAAGGUCUCAAAACACAAGAUUUAUAUGGUAAAUGGCCUCAAAUUGUUUGAAAAUGUUCAUAUAUUCACUCAAAAACACUAAAUCUUCAUAUCAUAUGAUAAAUCUCCUCAUUCUGAACAACUUUGCCUCUGGGACCAAUGUUGUCAAUAAAGCUGUUAAUUAAAUAUUCAAGAUUAUUUAAAAAAGUUACUUUGGCAUACUUGUGAUACGGUUUAAGAUGAAAAUCAAUAAAACCACUGAAGUACAAUUCUCUAGACUCUGAAGGUCAAUAAUUAUCAAAAACAUGUUGAACAAUUGCAUUUGGGCAACUAUAAACCAAUAAUUUUAUAAUAUGUUAUUUGCAUAGUGUACACAAAGGCCUAUUUAUACAAACAGAAAGCCCACAAAUUAUCAAAACUGUGUAAAAUAAUGCAUGAUUUCAUUCUAAACAAGCAUGCAAAAUUUAAGAGAGAUUGGGCAAAAAAAAAUUACAACACUAUAACAGUUAUGUUUUAAAACACAGUGUUCUUGGAGUAAAUGCAAUUUAUAACCACUAGAUGGCAGCGGAAGACCACUAAUGGGCUCAUUCAGUAAAGUUGAACAGUACUGUUGAAAGGAUUUAUGAAUUCAUGCCAAAACAUUAAAAAUGAACUGUUAUAACA
Long non-coding RNA from Carassius gibelio (silver crucian carp), 3005 nucleotides. RefSeq lists it as uncharacterized. NCBI's taxonomy places the organism in Eukaryota, Metazoa, Chordata, Actinopteri, Cypriniformes, Cyprinidae. The transcript is spliced from 5 exons. The record is from RefSeq and is a predicted model, not a curated record.